AAAAAGAUAAGCUAAUUAAGCUACAGGGUUCAUACCCCUUUUAUAAAGGUUAUACUCCUUUUCUUUUUA
This 69-nucleotide transfer RNA is filed under the name Nargus velox. RNAcentral's name for it is "tRNA-Met". It matches the Rfam family "tRNA". From Rfam's summary of the family: Transfer RNA (tRNA) molecules are approximately 80 nucleotides in length. Their secondary structure includes four short double-helical elements and three loops (D, anti-codon, and T loops). Lineage: Eukaryota; Metazoa; Arthropoda; Insecta; Coleoptera; Leiodidae. The record is from RNAcentral.